Molecule: ribosomal RNA, 651 nt
Filed under: uncultured Clostridium sp.
Lineage: Bacteria; Bacillati; Bacillota; Clostridia; Eubacteriales; Clostridiaceae
Description: bacterial SSU rRNA
Rfam family: Bacterial small subunit ribosomal RNA
Source: RNAcentral
AGCCUCCCGAAAGGGAGAUUAAUACCGCAUAAUAUUACGGUUUCGCAUGAAACAGUAAUUAAAGGAGCAAUCCGCUACGAGAUGGACCCGCGGCGCAUUAGCUAGUUGGUGAGGUAACGGCUCACCAAGGCGACGAUGCGUAGCCGACCUGAGAGGGUGAUCGGCCACAUUGGGGCUGAGACACGGCCCAGACUCCUACGGGAGGCAGCAGUGGGGAAUAUUGCACAAUGGGGGAAACCCUGAUGCAGCAACGCCGCGUGAGUGAUGACGGUCUUCGGAUUGUAAAGCUCUGUCUUUGGGGACGAUAAUGACGGUACCCAAGGAGGAAGCCACGGCUAACUACGUGCCAGCAGCCGCGGUAAUACGUAGGUGGCGAGCGUUGUCCGGAUUUACUGGGCGUAAAGGGAGCGUAGGCGGAUUCUUAAGUGGGAUGUGAAAUACCCGGGCUUAACCUGGGUGCUGCAUUCCAAACUGGGAAUCUAGAGUGCAGGAGGGGAGAGUGGAAUUCCUAGUGUAGCGGUGAAAUGCGUAGAGAUUAGGAAGAACACCAGUGGCGAAGGCGACUCUCUGAACUGUAACUGACGCUGAGGCUCGAAAGCGUGGGGAGCAAAACAGGAUUAGAUACCCUGGUAGUCCACGCCGUAAACGAUG